This 468-nucleotide ribosomal RNA is filed under the name uncultured bacterium. RNAcentral's name for it is "partial 16S ribosomal RNA". It matches the Rfam family "Bacterial small subunit ribosomal RNA", at positions 28 to 507 of the family's 1533-position model. The record is from RNAcentral.
GACGAACGCUGGCGGCGUGCCUAACACAUGCAAGUCGAACGGACAGGCCCUGCUUUUGUUUCUUGCUCGAGUGGCGAACGGGUGAGUAACACGUGAGUAACCUGCCCUUAACUUUGUGAUAACAUCUGGAAACUCCGGCUCAUACCGCAUAGGAUCUCCUGCUGCCUGUUGGUGGUUGGAAAAUUUCGGCUGUUCUGUAUGUUCUCGCGGCUUAUCAGCUUCUUGGUGUGGUAGUUGCGUACCAAGGCUUCGACGGGUAGGCGGCCUGCGAGGGGAGACGGGGACAUGAGGACUGAGGUACGGACCAGACGCGAAUCGUACGCAGCGGGGGAGAGUAUGACAGAGUAGGGGGGAGCGUGAGGUGAAAAUGCCGCGUGCGGGAUAACGGGUUUGGGGUUGUAAACAGAUUUCGCAUUUGACAAAGAGUGAGUGACGGUAAUGAAUAAAGAAGCAACGGCUAACUACGUG